CAUUCGGUACAACACUGCUUUUGCUUUUUCUUUUUCUUUUCUUCUUCUUCUCUCACCUACAAAACCCUAACCCUAAUCUAUCUUCUUCUUCACCAUCACACUUCACCAUGGAUGUUGCUCCUCAAACUCCCGACCCCGGCCAUAACUAUCUUGCUCACCAACCUUAAUCCCCAACCCUUAUUGAAGCUUCCUCAACAGUUGGCAUCGCCUUCUUCCUAUUUUUUUUGGAUCUCGCUAUUCGCUUCUCUCUUCUUUGAAGCCUCGAAUCCCUCUCCCUUUGGCGAGUGAGUGAGAGAGAAGGCACCCGAGCUUCAUUUGGUUUUGGUUUCCACGAUCGAUUAGGGUUGGGUGUGGAGAUUGCUUGAUUUCUAGGUAACACCGAAGGAUUUAAUCUUUGCUUGCAUCUCCGAGUGGCCUUUUCUGGUUGAUCGGCCUCUCAGGCUCCAAAUCCUUCUCAUUAGUCACUAAGAAUUCUAUAAUAUAAAUUGGUUCAAGAGAAGUGGCAGAAAUUGAACGUUCUCUACAAGAUCGUAUACGCCAUAGAUUGGAGCUUGAGAUCCAAUAAAAUUGUUACUGCUUCUCAUGACUCGCCUGCAACGUCAAAGUAUUCCGGGCCGAGAUGGAUGGGCCCACCAUUAGCUGUAAUCUCCAUGUCAUCAUCAUGUGACACAAGACAUGGAACGGGUCCACCACCACUUCUUGUGUGAAUCCAAUUCUUCUUGCUCCGGUCCCCACCGUCGAAUACUAGCAAGUGGCUAG
This is a long non-coding RNA of Dioscorea cayenensis subsp. rotundata (Guinea yam), 759 nucleotides long. RefSeq lists it as uncharacterized. The transcript has 4 exons. NCBI's taxonomy places the organism in Eukaryota, Viridiplantae, Streptophyta, Magnoliopsida, Dioscoreales, Dioscoreaceae. The record is from RefSeq and is a predicted model, not a curated record.